CGCGCAGACCGCCUUAUCGUCGUCCGCUUCGGCGGAGGGAGGAAAGUCCGGACACCACAGAGAAGCAUAGCGGGUAACACCCGUCGGUCUUAGCAAUAAGGCAAGGACAAGUGCAACAGAAAGUAUGUACAGGUAAUGCUGUAGUGAAACCAGGUAAACUCUAUGCGGUGAAAUACCAAGUAUAUCAGCAUUUAAGGGCUUCUCGUUCGUUGUUGAAGGGUAGGUAGCUCGAGCUUAUGAGUAAUUGUAAGCCUAGAUAAAUGAUAAGGCUCUGAUUUAUCAGGGACAGAAUCCGGCUUAUAGGUCUGCAUUUUUU
This 316-nucleotide RNase P RNA is filed under the name Flavobacterium sp. CLA17. RNAcentral's name for it is "RNase P RNA component class A". It matches the Rfam family "Bacterial RNase P class A". From Rfam's summary of the family: Ribonuclease P (RNase P) is a ubiquitous endoribonuclease, found in archaea, bacteria and eukarya as well as chloroplasts and mitochondria. Its best characterised activity is the generation of mature 5'-ends of tRNAs by cleaving the 5'-leader elements of precursor-tRNAs. Cellular RNase Ps are ribonucleoproteins. Lineage: Bacteria; Pseudomonadati; Bacteroidota; Flavobacteriia; Flavobacteriales; Flavobacteriaceae. The record is from RNAcentral.